RNAcentral lists this transfer RNA (68 nucleotides) under Cucujoidea sp. 9 KM-2017. Its description in RNAcentral is "tRNA-Ser". The record is from RNAcentral. Lineage: Eukaryota; Metazoa; Arthropoda; Insecta; Coleoptera.
AGUUAAUGAACUUGUAUAAGUUUAUAUUUUGAAAAUAUAAAAAAGAAAUAUUAAUUUUCUAUUAACUU